This is a long non-coding RNA of Chinchilla lanigera (long-tailed chinchilla), 404 nucleotides long. RefSeq lists it as uncharacterized. NCBI's taxonomy places the organism in Eukaryota, Metazoa, Chordata, Mammalia, Rodentia, Chinchillidae. The record is from RefSeq and is a predicted model, not a curated record. The transcript has 3 exons.
UUGGUCUCCAAGGAAUGUCAUUGCUGAGUGCACAAGAGGCAGUGGGGAGGAAGGACCAGGCACCAGAUUGGUCUCCAGGAGAUACGCCCACCUCUGCACCACUGGCCAGCUGUGUGCUGGAGCCCAGGCCUCAUGAGCAACCUCCCCAGCUCUCAUACUCUUGGAGCUGACUUUUCUGCACUCACAGACCCACAGGGAGAUAAGCCACCAUGAGGAGAAUGGGCUCUUCCGCCACAGGCUUCUGCCAUGUUGUGCUGCCCCACUUCAGGCCAGAAGGCACCAGGGCCAAGUGAGCAUGGACUGAGACCUCUGAAACCAGAAGCCAAAAUAAACUUUCUUCCUUUCAGUUGUUUAUCCCAAGUAUUUUGUCAUAGUAUCAGAAAACUAACAUGACGGGCUGCCAA